UGGGGAAUUUUCCGCAAUGGGCGAAAGCCUGACGGAGCAAGACCGCGUGAGGGAGGAAGGCUCUUGGGUUGUAAACCUCUUUUCUCAGGGAAGAAGCUCUGACGGUACCUGAGGAAUCAGCCUCGGCUAACUCCGUGCCAGCAGCCGCGGUAAUACGGAGGAGGCAAGCGUUAUCCGGAAUUAUUGGGCGUAAAGCGUCCGCAGGUGGCGAUUCAAGUCUGCUGUCAAAGCACGGGGCUUAACUCCGUUAAGGCAGUGGAAACUGAAUGGCUAGAGUGCCGUAGGGGUAGAGGGAAUUCCCGGUGUAGCGGUGAAAUGCGUAGAGAUCGGGAAGAACAUCGGUGGCGAAAGCGCUCUACUGGACGGCAACUGACACUCAGGGACGAAAGCUAGGGGAGCGAAUG
Molecule: ribosomal RNA, 404 nt
Filed under: uncultured bacterium
Lineage: Bacteria
Description: bacterial SSU rRNA
Rfam family: Bacterial small subunit ribosomal RNA
Source: RNAcentral